Molecule: long non-coding RNA, 980 nt
Filed under: Setaria viridis
Lineage: Eukaryota; Viridiplantae; Streptophyta; Magnoliopsida; Poales; Poaceae
Description: long non-coding RNA (SVIR_LNC006034)
Source: RNAcentral
GGUGGAUGGAGGAAGAGAGCGAGUGAUGAGAUGAGUGAGACUCGGACGGAAUCUUGUUUUUCUGCCGUCCUUCCGACAGGGGAUGGUUGGCGAGUCACAGUUCACAACAGUCAGCAGAAGGAUUUAGGCCCCGUCUUCUUCCACUUACUUAUUUUUAGCACCCGUCACAUAGAAUGUUUAGAUACUAAUUAGGAGUAUUAAACGUAGACUAUUUACAAAACCCAUUACAUAAGACGAAUCUAUUAAGCCUAAUUAGUUCAUGAUUUGACAAUGUGUUGCUACAGUAAACAUUUGCUAAUGAUGGAUUAAUUAGGUUUAAUUAGGCUUAAUAGAUUCGUCUCGCCGUUUAGAUUUGUCUUAUGUAAUGGGUUUUGUAAAUAGUCUACGUUUAAUACUCCUAAUUAGUAUCUAAAUAUUCGAUGUGAUACGUGCUAAAAAUAAGUCAGUGGAAGAAAAUGUCCCCUUAAUUACCGGAACAAUACAACUAAAGUUUUUUUUUCUGGGAUACUUUUCUUAGAGCUAGGUUUUACUUAAGGAUAUAUUACAUCUAUUUUCCGGUCUUGAGUUUACAUUUCAAGUUAUUAUAAUACGAAACCUCUGUGCAAACAGACACAAUUAACUACUAUUCGUUCUGCAGAUCAAUCAUCUAAUAGUGUCAGUGGGCGUUUGGUUGGGAGUAAUUGGGGUGAGGGAAAGUGAGUUUAUAAAUAAGAUCUUAGAAUCCUCUUAUUUGUUUGGUGGGAUGGAAAAGGGAAGCCAACUCCUAGUGAUCUCUUCUCAAGGGAAUGGAUGACAAUUGGAUUAUACUUUUAUAAGUUUUAGAUGAUUUAAGAUACAGUACUUUCUCAUGACAAAAUCCACACACCAAGUAGAGGGUAUGAAUUCCCCCUUAAACUCCCCUCCUAGUCCCCUCCACGAACCAAACAAAGAAUUGAGACUAAUAUACAUCCAGUUCAUAUUUUUUGUUGAGAUAUAUAUAU